UUUUAUAAAAAUAUGUUUGGUUCAGGUUUGAAAUUCAUUAUCUUUUAUUAUUUUAUUAUACAUUUAUUUUUCUAUUAAACAGCAGGUGGCUGUGGAAAGAAUAAGACAAUUAUUAAAAGGUGUCACAUGAAGGCUUCUUGCCUCUGGGAAAGAGCUGAGUGUCCUUGGAAAAUGUUGUAUCUUGCCUUUGAUGUAGGGAUGACCAUCAAUUGGAAGGUUUCAAUUAGAGAGAAAGGCAAGAGGAGAAAGGUUUAACUGUGUGAAACAGGAAGGGUGAAUCUUAGCAGAGUGGUAAGUCAUGUGGUUAUUGAGAAAUAACAAAUAAGGAGAUGCAGCCUAUAAUAACCACACCCUGGCCAGAGACAAACUCAGAUGUCCGUCUUGACUUAGUUGAUUUGCUUAAUAAAGUCUAAUUUUGACUUCUGGAUUCUCUGGAACUCUGCCUGUUGAGCUUCAUUUGCAAUAAAGAGAAGACUUUUUUCCACAACAGUGGCGGCUGGCUUGACUGCAGAAACAGCAGGAUAUAGACUAGCGUGAAGCUGUGAACUCGUAUCCUUCCUAGUGUGCACUUUUAACAAUACGACUGAGUCUGCCAGACGCCUACUCUGGAGUACGUGACAGAAGAAUCGGCUAUUAACUGUGAAAGCUCGUCCGGAAAAUUAUAAACGAUGAAAAGUGCUUACAGGUGUUCCUUGACCUUUCUGGCAUUUUUGUGUAUCUUGAAAGUAUGUGAACUGUGCCAGUCUAUUCGAGGAAGUCGUGCUUCCAAGCUUGUUGCAGGGGGGAGCAGUCUCCAGUUGAGCUGUGAAGUGCAACACUGUGGGGUCACUGGCUGGACUGGAGGAUGGGAAUUCCAGGAAAUGGGGACCACAGGAUUUACUCGCCUCACUCCCUCUGAACGAAUCGAGCUGUCCAAUUACAGCUCAACAGCCAAUAGCACACAUCUGUUAGUCGACAUUCACAACAUCAACCAGUCAGAUGCUGGAGCAUACCAGUGCAAAAUAACCUGGCCGGCACAAUUCACAAGCCGUGGGAACGUGAUAAAUAUAUGUGUAUAAAAUGAGAAAGUAUGAAUAGGUUCAUCAACCCAUGGUUGAAUCAAAUCUAUUUAAUGUGUUUAUUCCUGGACAGCAGCAGUACACUCACCAGGCAGACGCCUCUAUCAUAGAGUUAUACUGUGUCUGUGUCUCAAUGUGCUUUCCUCUUGUUCUGGGAUUAGUUUGGUGUCUGACCCGAGAUCAUCCAUCACCACCCCCUGUCCCACCUCGCUCCUACACUUCCUGUAAGAGCCAACUCUCUAUUCUGCAAAUCUGUCUAUCUAUGUCACACACACACACACACACACACACACAUAUAUAUAUAUACAUAUAUUAGUACCUACUGUUGUUUAUCUGUUUAGUGUUUAAAUGACUUGUUUUCUUGUUCUAGUUCCAGCUAGUGUGAAACCAAAAAAGGUAGUAAGUACCUCACUAUCUAACCACUACCUGGUUUGUUUAAAGAGGCCAUGAACUGCAGACUAUAUGUUCUCAGAGGUCCACUUAUAAUGCUAUCAAGAUUUUUACAUUAAAAAAACAUCCUAAUUUAAAAGUAAUAGGCUAUUUUCUAUCCUGUUUUUGACCCUCUUUUUCAAACACUCUGUUUUGAUAGGUGUGCUGCAUUCAAGACUUGGAAGUAAACGCCCACUGCUAUGAUUGGUUGGUGUAUACAGAAGUUGCAUUUGAACAGUUCGAGGCGGCAGAAUGAUUGUCCAAAACAAGUGCCUGAGCCAACUGUUUACUCCUCUGUGCAUUUCUCCUGAACAGAAAGACUUUAUCUUGCAUUUCUGUCUCGCAUGUGGCUGCAGGUAUUUUUCAUACCAGAACAAACAUGACUGUAAAUAUAGUGGCAGUACAGUUGCAAUGUUAGACACAACAAGACUGAGAAGAUAAACUGACUUGUGAUCCUUUGAAAUGUUAAUGCUUGCAAUGUUACACUUUGAUUUAUUUUAGCUGUAAUGUCAUAUUUGAUGGCAUUGAUCUUCCAGAGAUGUCUAUGAGAUGUGCUUUGUGUAUAUGGAUUGUGUGAUUGUACAUGAAAUAAAAGGAGACACAUCUGCGCAAAUGG
Molecule: RNA transcript, 2103 nt
Organism: Megalobrama amblycephala (Wuchang bream)
Lineage: Eukaryota; Metazoa; Chordata; Actinopteri; Cypriniformes; Xenocyprididae
Exons: 4
Source: RefSeq, a predicted model, not a curated record